Cannabis sativa is the source of this 92-nucleotide small nucleolar RNA. RefSeq annotates it as small nucleolar RNA snoR1. The transcript has a single exon. The record is from RefSeq and is a predicted model, not a curated record. NCBI's taxonomy places the organism in Eukaryota, Viridiplantae, Streptophyta, Magnoliopsida, Rosales, Cannabaceae.
GGCGACGAUGAUGAGUGCUUAAAUUUCUGACACCUCUUGUAUGAGAAGAAUUCGAUACUCUUCUUUGAGCACAAUUAGCAACUCUCUGAGCC